This 433-nucleotide unclassified non-coding RNA is filed under the name Hevea brasiliensis (rubber tree). The record is from RNAcentral. Lineage: Eukaryota; Viridiplantae; Streptophyta; Magnoliopsida; Malpighiales; Euphorbiaceae.
GUUCCAGCCACAAACAUAUCCAGGAUAAGAGCUUUGAGGUUGUCAUCAGUAAUAGGCACUUGUAGAUCAUCUCUUUUCUGAACCUUCAACAAUACAUGAACAAAAUCUUCUGAACCAUCCUCUCUGGUUUUCAUCAAAUGCUCUUUUAUAAUCUCAUCACAAACUUCUCUCAAAUCUUUCAAAUUAUUCAUCAAUCUCUUCUUCAUCCCACUCAGCCAAUUCACCCAUUCAAAAUCUGGAAAAAAAUCCCCAAAACAAAACCCAGCUAACAACGCCUGUGUCUCCGUCAGUACACUCACUAAAUCCUUAUCUUUCAAUUUAUCAUCAAUAAAUCUCUUCCCAAACGCUACUCUACACAAAAUAUCAUUCGCUAGACCGAAGAAAACCUGACUCAGAUCUACUUCAGAUUGAGAACGAGACGAAAUCAAUUCUA